This 254-nucleotide ribosomal RNA is filed under the name uncultured bacterium. RNAcentral describes it as "partial 16S ribosomal RNA". It matches the Rfam family "Bacterial small subunit ribosomal RNA", at positions 524 to 776 of the family's 1533-position model. The record is from RNAcentral.
UACGGGGGGGGCAAGCGUUGUUCGGAAUUACUGGGCGUAAAGGGCGCGUAGGCGGCCACCGCAAGUCGAUUGUGAAAUCUCCGGGCUUAACCCGGAAAGGUCAACCGAUACUGCGGGGCUAGAGUGCAGAAGGGGCAACUGGAAUUCUCGGUGUAGCGGUGAAAUGCGUAGAUAUCGAGAGGAACACCUGCGGCGAAGGCGGGUUGCUGGGCUGACACUGACGCUGAAGUGCGAAAGCUAGGGGAGCGAACGGG